This 73-nucleotide transfer RNA is filed under the name Rhamnusium bicolor. RNAcentral describes it as "tRNA-OTHER". The record is from RNAcentral. Lineage: Eukaryota; Metazoa; Arthropoda; Insecta; Coleoptera; Cerambycidae.
GCGUCGUUGUCGAGUGGUAAGGACACUUGCCUCUCGCUCUGGAUUCCCGGGUUCGAUCCCCGGCCGAGGAGCU